GGUACUAUUCAAAUAAUCUCUGAAAUACUUGAGAGUCAGAGAUAAUAUAAACUGGUUGUCUUUUUGUUUGUGUUGGCAGUGCUGAAGAUCGAACUCAGGGUUUUGCACAUGCUAAGCAAGCAUUCUAUUUCCGAGCUAUGUCCCAAGCCUGAGCAUGUUUUAAUGGCACCUAUGUCAGCGAGAAAGGUUACCUACAAAUUCACGAUCCUCCUGCCUCAGCCUCCUGAGUAGCAAGCACUACAGGCAUACACAACCAUGCCGAGCCUGCGGUUUCUUUCUGAGAACAAGGAGAAACUGCUGGGAACAGGACCUAAACUGAAGAGGACAGAGACAAAGGGAAAAAAGAAAAGAGAAACUCCAGAUUAAAGUCGUGAAGGAGAAAGGAAUGAGACAUUCUCAAAUAGCAAGGUGACAUUCUUAAACAUUAUACAAAAACUGAAGGAUUGCUGUGUAUUCAGAAAGGCUAAAUUAACAUCACAUAAAAAAGAAUAAAAGAAAAUUGUGGAGGUCUAAUACAAAUUAUUAUAAGGAAAAAAAGAGUAAGUAUAAACAAAUCUCUAAAGACAGUGAUGGAACACUAUACAGAUUUUCUCAUCUACUAAUACUUCAAAACAAGAUCAAGGGGCUUUAAGAAACAAUACAUGAUAUGAAAGGAUAAACAUGAAUAAAAAUUACAACCACCUCAGAAAUUAUCUAUCCAGAACUUAGGUGCAAAAACUCAGGAAAAAGUCAAAUUAGAAGAAAUAAAGUUAUA
Molecule: long non-coding RNA, 754 nt
Organism: Ictidomys tridecemlineatus (thirteen-lined ground squirrel)
Lineage: Eukaryota; Metazoa; Chordata; Mammalia; Rodentia; Sciuridae
Source: RefSeq, a predicted model, not a curated record